GGCGUGGCUUCCGGAGCUAACGCGUUAAAUCGACCGCCUGGGGAGUACGGCCGCAAGGUUAAAACUCAAAUGAAUUGACGGGGGCCCGCACAAGCGGUGGAGCAUGUGGUUUAAUUCGAUGCAACGCGAAGAACCUUACCUGGUCUUGACAUCCACAGAACUUWCCAGAGAUGSAUUGGUGCCUUCGGGAACUGUGAGACAGGUGCUGCAUGGCUGUCGUCAGCUCGUGUUGUGAAAUGUUGGGUUAAGUCCCGCAACGAGCGCAACCCUUAUCCUUUGUUGCCAGCGGUUCGGCCGGGAACUCAAAGGAGACUGCCAGUGAUAAACUGGAGGAAGGUGGGGAUGACGUCAAGUCAUCAUGGCCCUUACGACCAGGGCUACACACGUGCUACAAUGGCAUAUACAAAGAGAAGCGACCUCGCGAGAGCAAGCGGACCUCAUAAAGUAUGUCGUAGUCCGGAUUGGAGUCUGCAACUCGACUCCAUGAAGUCGGAAUCGCUAGUAAUCGUAGAUCAGAAUGCUACGGUGAAUACGUUCCCGGGCCUUGUACACACCGCCCGUCACACCAUGGGAGUGGGUUGCAAAAGAAGUAGGUAGCUUAACCUUC
This 607-nucleotide ribosomal RNA is filed under the name Klebsiella pneumoniae. RNAcentral's name for it is "bacterial SSU rRNA". The record is from RNAcentral. Lineage: Bacteria; Pseudomonadati; Pseudomonadota; Gammaproteobacteria; Enterobacterales; Enterobacteriaceae.